UCUGCUCUGCCUCCCUCGCUGCUGCCUCCGCAUCCCUCGCUGCUGCCUCUGCUCUAAGUUGAGAAAUUUUCUCAUCUGUACUAGCUUGUAUCUGAACUAUCUGAUCUUUUAACCUCUGAACUUCAGCUUGACUUUGACUCUCGGAAGGCAUGUAUUGGUGUGAGGUGGAUCCAAAAUAUUGGGUCGGGUUAACACCAGAUCCUUG
Molecule: long non-coding RNA, 205 nt
Filed under: Gossypium barbadense (sea-island cotton)
Lineage: Eukaryota; Viridiplantae; Streptophyta; Magnoliopsida; Malvales; Malvaceae
Description: long non-coding RNA (GBAR_LNC007991)
Source: RNAcentral